UCGAUUCGAGCGUGAUUACCCGCUGAACUUAAGCAUAUCACUAAGCGGAGGAAAAGAAACUAACAAGGAUUCCCUUAGUAACGGCGAGUGAACAGGGAUCAGCCCAGCACCGAAGCCUGUGGUCAUUUGGCCAUUAGGCAAUGUGGUGUUUAGGUCGUUCCGCAGAGACACUGCUCCUCUCUAAGUCCAUCAAUGAGUACGGUUGUACUGACAUGGCCCAAGGAGGGUGAAAGGCCCGUAAGAGUGGAGUUCUGGUACGACAGUGUCUCUCUGGAUUGACCUUGGAGUCGGGUUGUUUGGGAAUGCAGCCCAAAGCGGGUGGUAAACUCCAUCCAAGGCUAAAUACAAGCACGAGUCCGAUAGCGAACAAGUACCGUGAGGGAAAGUUGAAAAGUACUUUGAAGAGAGAGUAAACAGUGCGUGAAACCGCUUAGAGGUAAACGGGUGGAGUUGAACUGUAAUCUUUGAGAAUUCAGCUGGGGAAUUUUGUUUGAGCUUGGUCAAUUGGGCAGGACCUCGAGGUAUGCUUAGUUGCAUGUUCUGACCUUCGGGUUGGGAUGCGCGUUGCUCUUAUCAAGGGCUGCGCGCCUCGGGUGUUCGGCUGGCUCAUUCGCCAGUGCACUUUCUCAGAGUGAUCACCACGACCGGCGCUGCUGCUUUGCUGUUAUUGUUAAAUCGGACAUUCAUCGUCCUUGUGGCGUUGGGUGGUCGACACGGCAGGUAACUGGGGACUUGCUUCGGCUUGUUGCCUGGUGUAUGCUGGCUUUAACGGUCUUAUGCGGUGUGUCGGAGACGGCGGCUUGUGGUGUGUGCGUGCGUGCCUAUCUGUUGGCAUAUUCUGGUUUGGUGGCUGUGUGCUUGUUCAAGCAGGCCCAGUUAUAGCCGGAGUGUGUCAGUGGGUGGUUGCGUGUGUGACACUGUUCAGGGCCAAUAGUCUGUGGUGUUGUGGUAGACUAUCCACCUGACCCGUCUUGAAACACGGACCAAGGAGAGUAACAUGUGCGCGAGUCAUUGGGCGUAACGAAACCCAAAGGCGCAGUGAAAGUAAAGGUCUGGCUUGUCCAGGCUAAGGUGAGAUCUUGUCGUUAUUCAUGCGCGGUACCACCAAGCUUGGAGCGGCAGGCGCAUCACCGGCCCGUCCCAUGACGUGGUCACAUUCUCCGGAUUGUGCGCCGUCGGGGCGGGGCAUGAGCGUACAUGUUGAGACCCGAAAGAUGGUGAACUAUGCUUGCGCAGGUUGAAGCCAGAGGAAACUCUGGUGGAGGACCGCAGCGAUUCUGACGUGCAAAUCGAUCGUCAAACGUGAGUAUAGGGGCGAAAGACUAAUCGAACCAUCUAGUAGCUGGUUCCCUCCGAAGUUUCCCUCAGGAUAGCAGGUCGAUUCGAGCGUGAU
RNAcentral lists this ribosomal RNA (1393 nucleotides) under Allocreadium hemibarbi. RNAcentral's name for it is "partial large subunit ribosomal RNA". It matches the Rfam family "Eukaryotic large subunit ribosomal RNA", at positions 1 to 1004 of the family's 3401-position model. Lineage: Eukaryota; Metazoa; Platyhelminthes; Trematoda; Plagiorchiida; Allocreadiidae. The record is from RNAcentral.